AAUAAGUUUAUUGGUAGGUUUCUAUAUCUAACUUUUGACCGUCCGUCUUAUCUGAAAAUUUUUAAAAAACAAGUCAUGCAUAAAGUACUAUUUAUAUCUUAUCAUCUAAUAACAACAAAAAUACUAGUAAUUCAUAAAAAGAGCAAAUAAGACAUACGGUCAAACAUUGCACACAUAAACAUAUAAAUGAACUUAUU
Oryza sativa Indica Group (long-grained rice) is the source of this 197-nucleotide microRNA precursor. It matches the Rfam family "MIR812 microRNA precursor family". NCBI's taxonomy places the organism in Eukaryota, Viridiplantae, Streptophyta, Magnoliopsida, Poales, Poaceae. The record is from Rfam.